This 87-nucleotide unclassified non-coding RNA is filed under the name Pseudomonas fragi. The record is from RNAcentral. Lineage: Bacteria; Pseudomonadati; Pseudomonadota; Gammaproteobacteria; Pseudomonadales; Pseudomonadaceae.
UGUGGGAGCGGGCUUGCUCGCGAUGCAGGCUCCCCGGUUUGUCAGGCAUAUUGAGGUGAUGCCAUCGCGAGCAAGCCCGCUCCCACA